UACGUAGGGGGCAAGCGUUGUCCGGAUUUAUUGGGCGUAAAGCGCGUGUAGGCGGCCAGGUAGGUCGGUUGUGAAAAUUGGAGGCUCAACCUCCAGACGUCGAUCGAAACCAUCUGGCUAGAGUCCGGAAGAGGAGAAUGGAAUUCCUGGUGUAGCGGUGAAAUGCGUAGAUAUCGUGAGGAAGACCAGUGGCGAAGGCGGAUCUCUGGACAGUUCCUGACACUGAGGCACGAAGGCCAGGGGAGCAAACGGG
This 253-nucleotide ribosomal RNA is filed under the name uncultured bacterium. RNAcentral describes it as "partial 16S ribosomal RNA". It matches the Rfam family "Bacterial small subunit ribosomal RNA", at positions 524 to 776 of the family's 1533-position model. The record is from RNAcentral.